CUACGGGAGGCAGCAGUGGGGAAUCUUGGACAAUGGGCGCAAGCCUGAUCCAGCCAUGCCGCGUGAAUGAUGAAGGCCUUAGGGUUGUAAAGUUCUUUCGCCGGGAACGAUAAUGACGGUACCCGGAGAAGAAGCCCCGGCUAACUUCGUGCCAGCAGCCGCGGUAAUACGAAGGGGGCUAGCGUUGUUCGGAAUUACUGGGCGUAAAGCGCAUGUAGGCGGACCAUCAAGUUGGAGGUGAAAGCCCAAGGCUCAACCUUGGAAUUGCCUUCAAAACUGGUGGUCUGGAGCAUAUUAGAGGCAGGUGGAAUUCCGAGUGGAGAGGUGAAAUUCGUAGAUAUUCGGAGGAACACCGGUGGCGAAGGCGACCUGCUGGGAUAUUGCUGACGCUGAGAUGCGAAAGCGUGGGGAGCAAACAGGAUUAGAUACCCCGGUAGUCCC
This 441-nucleotide ribosomal RNA is filed under the name uncultured bacterium. RNAcentral describes it as "bacterial SSU rRNA". It matches the Rfam family "Bacterial small subunit ribosomal RNA", at positions 339 to 797 of the family's 1533-position model. The record is from RNAcentral.